Molecule: ribosomal RNA, 479 nt
Filed under: uncultured bacterium
Lineage: Bacteria
Description: partial 16S ribosomal RNA
Rfam family: Bacterial small subunit ribosomal RNA
Source: RNAcentral
GAUGAACGCUAGCGGGAGGCCUAACACAUGCAAGCCGAGCGGUAGAGUUUCUUCGGAAACUUGAGAGCGGCGCACGGGUGCGUAACACGUGUGCAACCUACCUUUAUCUGGGGGAUAGCCUUUCGAAAGGAAGAUUAAUACCCCAUAAUAUAAUGAUUGGCAUCAAUUAUUAUUGAAAACUCCGGUGGAUAGAGAUGGGCACGCGCAAGAUUAGAUAGUUGGUGAGGUAACGGCUCACCAAGUCAAUGAUCUUUAGGGGUCCUGAGAGGGAGAUCCCCCACACUGGUACUGAGGCACGGACCAGACUGGUACGGGAGGCAGCAGUGAGGAAUAUUAGACGAUGGGUGAGAACCUGAUCCAGCCAUCCCGCGUGAAGAAUGACGGUCCUAUGGAUUGUAAACUUCUUGUGAACAGGGAUAAACCUACCCUCGUGAGGGUAGCUGAAGGUACUGUACGAAUAAGCACCGGCUAACUCCGUG